UGGUUCAGAUUUGCAUCCAUUGACCAAUAUUCCUCACUGCUGCCUCCCGUAGGAGUUUGGACCGUGUCUCAGUUCCAAUGUGGGGGACCUUCCUCUCAGAACCCCUACUGAUCGAAGUCUUGGUGAGCCGUUACCUCACCAACAAACUAAUCAGACGCAUCCCCAUCCAAUACCGAAAUUCUUUAAUGUAUAAUUCAUGAGAAAAAUACAUACCAUCAGGAAUUAGUCCGUCUUUCAACGGGUUAUGCCUGAGUAUUGGGUAGGUUGGAUACGCGUUACUCACCCGUGCGCCGGUCGCCAUCAUUGGUUGCAAGCAACCAACAUGCUGCCCCUCGACUUGCAUGUGUUAAGCCUGUAGCUAGCGUUCAUCCUGAGCCAGGAUCAAACCCUC
This 391-nucleotide ribosomal RNA is filed under the name uncultured bacterium. Its description in RNAcentral is "partial 16S ribosomal RNA". The record is from RNAcentral.